ACGCCGACCCGCGGGAGCCCGCGUUCCGAGGCUGAGAGGCGGCAGGACCGGCCGCCGACCGUUCGAACCUGACCCGGUUAACACCGGCGUAGGGAGGACGAGUGACUCUCGU
This 112-nucleotide non-coding RNA is filed under the name Pseudonocardia sp. Its description in RNAcentral is "TPP sequence". It matches the Rfam family "TPP riboswitch aptamer (THI element)". From Rfam's summary of the family: Vitamin B(1) in its active form thiamin pyrophosphate (TPP) is an essential coenzyme that is synthesised by coupling of pyrimidine and thiazole moieties in bacteria. The previously detected thiamin-regulatory element, thi box was extended, resulting in a new, highly conserved RNA secondary structure, the THI element, which is widely distributed in eubacteria and also occurs in some archaea. Analysis of operon structures identified a large number of new candidate thiamin-regulated genes, mostly transporters, in various prokaryotic organisms. Lineage: Bacteria; Bacillati; Actinomycetota; Actinomycetes; Pseudonocardiales; Pseudonocardiaceae. The record is from RNAcentral.